Molecule: unclassified non-coding RNA, 334 nt
Filed under: soil metagenome
Description: partial contains 5.8S ribosomal RNA, internal transcribed spacer 2, and large subunit ribosomal RNA
Rfam family: 5.8S ribosomal RNA (bases 1-120)
Source: RNAcentral
GAUGAAGAACGUAGCGAAAUGCGAUACGUAGUGUGAAUUGCAGAAUUCAGUGAAUCAUCGAAUCUUUGAACGCACAUUGCGCCCGCCAGUAUUCUGGCGGGCAUGCCUGUUCGAGCGUCAUUUCAACCAUCAAGCCCCCGGCUUGUGUUGGGGACCUGCGGCUGCCGCAGGCCCUGAAAACCAGUGGCGGGCUCGCUAGUCACUCCGAGCGUAGUAAUACAUCUUGCUCAGGGCGUGCUGCGGGUUCCGGCCGUUAAAAGCCUUAUUUACCCAAGGUUGACCUCGGAUCAGGUAGGAAGACCCGCUGAACUUAAGCAUAUCAAUAAGCGGAGGA